Molecule: long non-coding RNA, 265 nt
Organism: Rhodamnia argentea
Lineage: Eukaryota; Viridiplantae; Streptophyta; Magnoliopsida; Myrtales; Myrtaceae
Exons: 4
Source: RefSeq, a predicted model, not a curated record
CCUUUCCCUUCUGGCGGGGCCAGCUCCUCGACCAAAUCAAGCACUUGCCCAAGAAACUGCCGAGGUUGGAGAAGAAAGGGGUCGGGCGGACGAGAGAGAGAGAGAGAGAGAGAGAGAGAGAGAGAGGAGGAGACGGAGACCGUGACCGUGAGAGGAGAGAGAGGAGUUUUUCGUUUUUCUGACUGGUGGGGCCAUUCCGGACACGUGUGGCAUGAUGGGUGGACAUGGGGACCAGAUCAGCAAUACCCGGUCUGUAGCCAAUAUU